UACGUAGGGUGCAAGCGUUGUCCGGAAUUAUUGGGCGUAAAGAGCUCGUAGGCGGUUUGUCGCGUCUGCUGUGAAAACCCGAGGCUCAACCUCGGGCCUGCAGUGGGUACGGGCAGACUAGAGCGCGGUAGGGGAGAUUGGAAUUCCUGGUGUAGCGGUGGAAUGCGCAGAUAUCAGGAGGAACACCAAUGGCGAAGGCAGAUCUCUGGGCCGUAACUGACGCUGAGGAGCGAAAGCAUGGGGAGCGAACAGG
This 253-nucleotide ribosomal RNA is filed under the name uncultured bacterium. RNAcentral describes it as "partial 16S ribosomal RNA". It matches the Rfam family "Bacterial small subunit ribosomal RNA", at positions 524 to 776 of the family's 1533-position model. The record is from RNAcentral.